ACUUAAGUGUUUAAUUUUUUUAUUAGUUGUUUAUUGAUUUAAUCAAAGUGUUGGUAUUCUUAUUAUUGUUAAAGAAUAGAAGUUUAUUAUUUAUAGAGGAUAGUAUAGUGAUAGAAUAUUAUAAAGUUUAUAAAAGAAGGCUUUAUUUGUCGUACCUUGUGUGUCAGGGUUUACUAAAAAUAGUUAAUUAUUUAGUUUUCUCGAAUUAUAAAGGGCUAUUGGAAUAUGUUAGUUAUUGUAGCAAAAAUAUUAAUAAUAUUUUAAUAGAAAUGAAACGUUAUUCGUUUUAUAAUAUAUCUAGUUUUUUAAGAAAUGAAUUUAAUUUAGUAUCCAGACAUUAUUUGCAUUAAUUUUUAUGUGAAUAUUAAAGGGUUGUAAUAGCCUAUGGGAUGAGCUUUAGGCUAAAUUUUUAUAAUGAAGUUAAUUUUAAUAAUAAGUAGGAUUAGAAUUUUCCAUCUUUAAAAGGAUGUUAUAAUUUAUUAUUAUAUUGUAAUUAUUUUUAUCUUGUUUAAGUUUUUUAUUAAAAUGAAUUCUUUAAUUUUAAGGGAUUUGUAAUAAUGGUAUAAUUAGUAAAUUUAUUUGUUUAUAAAUUGAGUUUAGGGGAGGUUAAAGUAAGGAACUCGGCAAAGUUACUUUUCACCUGUUUAAUAAAAACAUGUCUUUUUGUUAUUAAUUUAAGGUUUGGCCUGCUCCAUGACUAAGUUAAAUAGCCGCAGUAUUUUGACUGUGCAAAGGUAGCAUAAUCAUUAGUUUUUUAAUUGAAAGCUGGAAUGAAGGGUCGGAUGAGAAAGAAUCUGUCUCACUUUAAUUUAUUUGAAUUUUAUUUUUAAGUUAAAAAGCUUAAAUUUUAUAGGAAGACGAGAAGACCCUAUAGAGUUUAAUAAGUUAGGGUUUGAUUAUCUAAGGAUUUAAAUGUAAUCAUUUUUUGGCUUGUUUAGUUGGGGUGACAUUAGAAUUGAAUAAACUUCUAAAUAUUUAUACAUUGAUUUAUGAAUUUAUGAUCCUGACUUUUGGAUUUAAAGAUCAAAUUACCUUAGGGAUAACAGCGUAAUCUUUUUGGAGAGUUCUAAUCGAUAAAAGGGAUUGCGACCUCGAUGUUGGAUUAAAGUUAAGUUUCGGUGUAGGAGCUGAAAUUUUGAGUCUGUUCGACUUUUAAAACUUUACAUGAUCUGAGUUUAAACCGGCGUGAGCCAGGUUGGUUUCUAUCUUUUAUAGAUAAAAUAUUUUAGUACGAAAGGACCAAGUAUUUAAAUAAUAUUUUUUGUUAGAAUGAAAUU
This 1277-nucleotide ribosomal RNA is filed under the name Meloe poggii. Its description in RNAcentral is "16S ribosomal RNA". The stretch from base 856 to 1208 matches the Rfam family "Archaeal large subunit ribosomal RNA", at positions 2155 to 2712 of the family's 2987-position model. The record is from RNAcentral. Lineage: Eukaryota; Metazoa; Arthropoda; Insecta; Coleoptera; Meloidae.